This 460-nucleotide ribosomal RNA is filed under the name uncultured bacterium. Its description in RNAcentral is "partial 16S ribosomal RNA". It matches the Rfam family "Bacterial small subunit ribosomal RNA", at positions 338 to 795 of the family's 1533-position model. The record is from RNAcentral.
CCUACGGGGGGCAGCAGUGAGGAAUAUUGGUCAAUGGGCGAAAGCCUGAACCAGCCAAGUCGCGUGAGGGAUGAAGGUUCUACGGAUCGUAAACCUCUUUUAUAAGGGAAUAAAGUGAGGGACGUGUCCUAUUUUGCAUGUACCUUAUGAAUAAGGAUCGGCUAACUCCUUGCCAGCAGACGCGGUAAUACGGAGGAUCCGAGCGUUCUCCGGAUUUAUUGGGUUUAAAGGGUGCGUAGGCGGCCUUUUAAGUCAGCGGUGAAAGUCUGUGGCUCAACCAUAGAAUUGCCGUUGAAACUGGGGGGCUUGAGUAUGUUUGAGGCAGGCGGAAUGCGUGGUGUAGCGGUGCAAUGCUUAGAUAUCACGCAGAACCCCGAUUGCGAAGGCAGCCUGCCAAGCCAUGACUGACGCUGAUGCACGAAAGCGUGGGGAUCAAACAGGAUUAGAUACCCUUGUAGUC